RNAcentral lists this ribosomal RNA (1491 nucleotides) under metagenome. RNAcentral describes it as "bacterial SSU rRNA". It matches the Rfam family "Bacterial small subunit ribosomal RNA". The record is from RNAcentral.
AGAGUUUGAUCCUGGCUCAGAUUGAACGCUGGCGGCAUGCCUUACACAUGCAAGUCGAACGGCAGCACGGGAGCUUGCUCCUGGUGGCGAGUGGCGAACGGGUGAGUAAUAUAUCGGAACGUACCCUAGAGCGGGGGAUAACGUAGCGAAAGUUACGCUAAUACCGCAUACGAUCUACGGAUGAAAGUGGGGGAUCGCAAGACCUCAUGCUCAUGGAGCGGCCGAUAUCUGAUUAGCUAGUUGGUGGGGUAAAAGCUCACCAAGGCGACGAUCAGUAGCUGGUCUGAGAGGACGACCAGCCACACUGGAACUGAGACACGGUCCAGACUCCUACGGGAGGCAGCAGUGGGGAAUUUUGGACAAUGGGCGCAAGCCUGAUCCAGCAAUGCCGCGUGAGUGAAGAAGGCCUUCGGGUUGUAAAGCUCUUUUGUCAGGGAAGAAACGGUUCGGGCUAAUAUCCUGGACUAAUGACGGUACCUGAAGAAUAAGCACCGGCUAACUACGUGCCAGCAGCCGCGGUAAUACGUAGGGUGCAAGCGUUAAUCGGAAUUACUGGGCGUAAAGCGUGCGCAGGCGGUUGUGCAAGACAGAUGUGAAAUCCCCGGGCUCAACCUGGGAAUUGCAUUUGUGGCUGCACGGCUAGAGUGUGUCAGAGGGGGGUAGAAUUCCACGUGUAGCAGUGAAAUGCGUAAAGAUGUGGAGGAAUACCGAUGGCGAAGGCAGCCCCCUGGGAUAACACUGACGCUCAUGCACGAAAGCGUGGGGAGCAAACAGGAUUAGAUACCCUGGUAGUCCACGCCCUAAACGAUGUCUACUAGUUGUCGGGUCUUAAUUGACUUGGUAACGCAGCUAACGCGUGAAGUAGACCGCCUGGGGAGUACGGUCGCAAGAUUAAAACUCAAAGGAAUUGACGGGGACCCGCACAAGCGGUGGAUGAUGUGGAUUAAUUCGAUGCAACGCGAAAAACCUUACCUACCCUUGACAUGUCCGGAAUCCUUGAGAGAUCAGGGAGUGCUCGAAAGAGAAUCGGAACACAGGUGCUGCAUGGCUGUCGUCAGCUCGUGUCGUGAGAUGUUGGGUUAAGUCCCGCAACGAGCGCAACCCUUGUCAUUAGUUGCUACGAAAGGGCACUCUAAUGAGACUGCCGGUGACAAACCGGAGGAAGGUGGGGAUGACGUCAAGUCCUCAUGGCCCUUAUGGGUAGGGCUUCACACGUCAUACAAUGGUACAUACAGAGGGCCGCCAAUCCGCGAGGGGGAGCUAAUCCCAGAAAGUGUAUCGUAGUCCGGAUUGUAGUCUGCAACUCGACUACAUGAAGUUGGAAUCGCUAGUAAUCGCGGAUCAGCAUGUCGCGGUGAAUACGUUCCCGGGUCUUGUACACACCGCCCGUCACACCAUGGGAGCGGGUUUCACCAGAAGUGGGUAGCCUAACCGCAAGGAGGGCGCUCACCACGGUGGGAUUCGUGACUGGGGUGAAGUCGUAACAAGGUA